GAUGAAGAACGUAGCGAAAUGCGAUAAGUAAUGCGAAUUGCAGAAUUCCGUGAGUCAUCGAAUCUUUGAACGCACAUUGCGCCCUCUGGUAUUCCGGAGGGCAUGCCUGUCUGAGCGUCAUUGUCAACCCUCAAGCUCAGCUUGCUGUUGGGUCCCCGUCGUUGCUUUAACGGCGGACCCGAAAGGUAAUGGCAGAGUCCGUGAGACCCUAGACGCAGCGAGCUUCUAGCACGCGUCUGGACGUUUUUCGGGCUCGGUCUUAACUAGAUGAUAACUUCCGAUUGACCUCAGAUCAGGUAGGGAUACCCGCUGAACUUAAGCAUAUCAAUAGCGGAGGA
Molecule: unclassified non-coding RNA, 338 nt
Filed under: soil metagenome
Description: partial contains 5.8S ribosomal RNA, internal transcribed spacer 2, and large subunit ribosomal RNA
Rfam family: 5.8S ribosomal RNA (bases 1-120)
Source: RNAcentral